RNAcentral lists this ribosomal RNA (28 nucleotides) under Lactifluus acrissimus. Its description in RNAcentral is "partial 28S ribosomal RNA". The record is from RNAcentral. Lineage: Eukaryota; Fungi; Basidiomycota; Agaricomycetes; Russulales; Russulaceae.
UUGACCUCAAAUCGGGGUGAGACUACCC